GCCUCCAUAGCUCAGAGGUUAGAGCACUGGUCUCGUAAACCAGGGGUCGCGAGUUCGAAUCUCGCUGGUGGCU
Molecule: transfer RNA, 73 nt
Filed under: Araneus ventricosus
Lineage: Eukaryota; Metazoa; Arthropoda; Arachnida; Araneae; Araneidae
Rfam family: tRNA
About the family: Transfer RNA (tRNA) molecules are approximately 80 nucleotides in length. Their secondary structure includes four short double-helical elements and three loops (D, anti-codon, and T loops).
Source: Rfam by way of RNAcentral